RNAcentral lists this ribosomal RNA (251 nucleotides) under uncultured prokaryote. RNAcentral's name for it is "partial 16S ribosomal RNA". It matches the Rfam family "Bacterial small subunit ribosomal RNA", at positions 524 to 774 of the family's 1533-position model. The record is from RNAcentral.
UACGGAGGAUGCGAGCGUUAUCCGGAUUUAUUGGGUUUAAAGGGUGCGUAGGCGGCCGAGUAAGUCAGCGGUGAAAUUUUGCAGCUUAACUGUAACAGUGCCGUUGAUACUGCAUGGCUAGGAUUUGGUUGCUGUGGGUGGAAUGUGUGGUGUAGCGGUGAAAUGCUUAGAUAUCACACAGAAUAUCGAUUGCGAAGGCAGCUCACAAAGCCAAGAUUGACGCUGAGGCACGAAAGCGUGGGUAGCAAACA